CCUCUCAAAUCCAUAUUUUUGUUGAUUUUAACUGUGAUUUUUCAUCGGAAUCAGAUUGUCAAGGUAAACUUGUCCAUCUUCUCUUAAUUUCUCCUCCGAUUCUACCAUAUUCAUGUGGGUUUGAGUGGGAACGCUAGAUGUAAUUUGUGGUACAAAAUUGGUCGUUCUAGUUGAUGAAUUAUGGUUUGGAAUGAUUAGAAAUGCAAUAUAGGUUGCAUAUGAUUGAAUAUUUGUUCUAGAACAAAAUUUGAUAGUAUUUUUAAAUGCCCGUAUAAUAUGAUGUUGUGAUGGGUUGAAGUUGUGUGCAAUGAUUUUUUAAAGAUGGUAACUAAGUUUAUUACGUAGGAUUUGGUAGAGUUGAAUGUAAAAAUGUUUGGUGCAUGUCAAAUUCGUAAUGGAUUGGUGUUUAUGCAGUUGUAUGAUAUGAUGAACUAUUUGUGGUGUAAGCAAAAGUGGGCACACAUCGGCAAGAAGUAUCCCUAUGUUAGUUGUAAGGAUGCCCCCGUUCCUCCCGCUCUUCCUGUCCCGACUUGUGAUUGUGGAGUGAGAGAUAUGCUACUUCUUCCAAUGGAUUGAUGGGCCUGAGAUGUAUGACCCGAGGAUUUUGAAGGUGAAACGAUUUACUCAAUAUUCAAAGCCAUAUGACAAGUUUAUUCGUUGGGUUCCUCCUCCACCAAAUCCACAAAAGCUGACCUAUAAAGAGAAAUCGGAUUUGAGGGGAAAACGUGUAGCGGAUCCUCCGUUAUGCAAAUGUGGGAAGCGAAGCAUGCUCUGUGAACCUUCAGGGGAAUCUCCUUACUUCCGUUGUGAAGGGAUGACGAAGUGCUACUUGUAACUUUCAGGAUUUGUUGUACGGUCCUGAUGGUGAAUGGAUGGAGGAGGAAGAGGAUAGAGGGAAAGGCAAAAGGGUGAUAGAACCAUGUCACCCAAGGAGAGCUAUGAAGGGUCAAGAGGCAGCGGCUAAGGCGGUGCAAAUGGAGACAAUAAAGGUACUUGUUGCUAAUUUACUUGUGCUUAUCCCGGACGCUGAUGAUGAUGACGCUGAUGAUGAGUUGAUCUAUAAUGGGGCGGACGAUUAGUAUUAUAGGUUAGUUGGCUGGGUAUGUGGUUACGUUGGACCUAUCAAUAAUUUGUUAGGCGUAAUGUUGUGAACUAUUUUGUGAGCUUAAUGUGUAAUCGUCGAUGAUUGUAC
Phragmites australis (common reed) is the source of this 1192-nucleotide long non-coding RNA. RefSeq lists it as uncharacterized. The transcript has 3 exons. Lineage: Eukaryota; Viridiplantae; Streptophyta; Magnoliopsida; Poales; Poaceae. The record is from RefSeq and is a predicted model, not a curated record.